Molecule: non-coding RNA, 26 nt
Filed under: Rattus norvegicus (Norway rat)
Lineage: Eukaryota; Metazoa; Chordata; Mammalia; Rodentia; Muridae
Source: RNAcentral
UGUGGCUCAACCUUAGCUUCUGUGUU